UACGUAGGGGGCGAGCGUUAUCCGGAUUCACUGGGUGUAAAGGGAGCGUAGACGGCUUUGCAAGCCAGAUGUGAAAGCCCGGGGCUCAACCCCGGGACUGCAUUUGGAACUGUGUGGCUAGAGUGUCGGAGAGGCAGGCGGAAUUCCUAGUGUAGCGGUGAAAUGCGUAGAUAUUAGGAGGAACACCAGUGGCGAAGGCGGCCUGCUGGACGAUGACUGACGUUGAGGCUCGAAAGCGUGGGGAGCAAACAGG
This 253-nucleotide ribosomal RNA is filed under the name uncultured bacterium. RNAcentral describes it as "partial 16S ribosomal RNA". It matches the Rfam family "Bacterial small subunit ribosomal RNA", at positions 524 to 776 of the family's 1533-position model. The record is from RNAcentral.